AAUGAACGCUGGCGGCAGGCCUAACACAUGCAAGUCGAACGGAUCCUUCGGGAUUAGUGGCGGACGGGUGAGUAACGCGUGGGAACGUACCCCUUUCUUCGGAAUAGCCUCGGGAAACUGGGAGUAAUACCGGAUAAGCCCUAUUGGGGAAAGAUUUAUCGGGAAGGGAUCGGCCCGCGUUGGAUUAGGUAGUUGGUGGGGUAAUGGCCUACCAAGCCGACGAUCCAUAGCUGGUUUGAGAGGAUGAUCAGCCACACUGGGACUGAGACACGGCCCAGACUCCUACGGGAGGCAGCAGUGGGGAAUAUUGCGCAAUGGGCGAAAGCCUGACGCAGCGACGCCGCGUGGGUGAUGAAGGCC
Molecule: ribosomal RNA, 360 nt
Filed under: uncultured bacterium
Lineage: Bacteria
Description: bacterial SSU rRNA
Rfam family: Bacterial small subunit ribosomal RNA
Source: RNAcentral